Physella acuta is the source of this 1072-nucleotide long non-coding RNA. RefSeq lists it as uncharacterized. Lineage: Eukaryota; Metazoa; Mollusca; Gastropoda; Physidae. The record is from RefSeq and is a predicted model, not a curated record.
AGUUGCGCAGCUUGCGCCGUGACCUUUGUUGCCAUGGUAAUCAUGGCUGUACCUUGAACCUGAAGUUCUUGCUUCCGGUUGACCUUAGGUAUUUAGGGGCCUAUCAGUUUAUGCUAAUGAGUAGAGCCCACGGUCUACAUUUAAUUACGAAGGGGUCCUCAUCUUUACGAUAAGAUGUUUUAAAAAUUAAUCGCGUUUUAUUUCUUGUAUUUUGUUUGAAACAUCACCAAGGAUUAGUGUGCUCAAAUAUAAGAAACUUGCAUUCUAUUUCAUCCAAGGAGUCUAGAUCUAGUCUAGAUCUUGUAAAAAUAGCAAGACUAACCCAGUGUAAGGAGGAUUGCUAAUGACCUAAUGUAAUCAGAAACUUGAUGGCUGAGAUAAAGCGGCUGAGGAGAACAGAGGCUUGUGAGUGGAUUAGGUUGGUGGAACUUGUGUACAGCCCUAUCUAUGUUCAAUGUCUCAGGUGGAAGUUCAUUUAGUAGUUUUCAUGGAGAUCCAGCUUUUAUUCAAGGCUCAUCUUAAAGAGAAUGAUGUGGCUGCUGGGACAUAACUUAAGUCUACAUUCAACUGCUUGCAGAUCUCAAGAAGCCUGGGGUUCUCGUCCAGCGCUGCAAGCACUCAGGCUGAUUGGGAAGUUAAUUUCUGGUCCUUUGAUAAAGUUGAUUUACAAGAACGCAAAGUGGCGAUCAGUUGUACUCUGUUUCUUAAAGUCAUGGAAGCGUUGUUGACUUCUACUGAGCCUUUCUUGGUGCGACAGCUGGAGAGGUUUCUGAUGGGAAAUCUGAUUGGUGGCCAGUUGACUCAUAAGUGGGAGCAAGGUGAUCAGGGUGUGUCGCAAUACAGUGGAAGGACUAUUGAAAGGGUGCCAGCAACAAAACAAAAGUCAGCUCUUUACACCAUAAGCUACUGGGCAGAUGAUUAGGAUAAUGCUGAGAAUCUGUCAUCUGGCAGAAUCACUGGUUGUUGACUUGCUUUGUAAGAAUCUUGUUUUUCUUACUGAAUAAUUGCUAAUCAAGAGUUACAGAGUACUUCUUUCAUUUGUAGUAUACAAAUUAACUUUAUUUUUUUAACA